This 262-nucleotide ribosomal RNA is filed under the name uncultured bacterium. Its description in RNAcentral is "partial 16S ribosomal RNA". It matches the Rfam family "Bacterial small subunit ribosomal RNA", at positions 515 to 776 of the family's 1533-position model. The record is from RNAcentral.
CCGCGGUAAUACGGAGGGAGCUAGCGUUGUUCGGAUAUACUGGGCGUAAAGCGCACGUAGGCGGCGCCGCAAGUCAGGGGUGAAAUCCCGGAGCUCAACCCCGGAACUGCCUUUGAAACUAGUAGGCUAGAAUCUUGGAGAGGUCAGUGGAAUUCCGAGUGUAGAGGUGAAAUUCGUAGAUAUUCGGAAGAACACCAGUGGCGAAGGCGACUGACUGGACAAGUAUUGACGCUGAGGUGCGAAAGCGUGGGGAGCAAACAGG